CAUGCCCCUUAUACGCUGGGCUACACACGUGCUACAAUGGGUAGAACAGAGAGUUGCAAAGCCGUGAGGUGAAGCUAAUCUCAGAAAACUAUUCUUAGUUCGGAUUGUACUCUGCAACUCGAGUACAUGAAGUUGGAAUCGCUAGUAAUCGCGAAUCAGCAAUGUCGCGGUGAAUACGUUCUCGGGUCUUGUACACACCGCCCGUCACACCACGAGAGUUGGUUGCACCUGAAGUAGCAGGCCUAACCGUAAGGAGGGAUGCUCCGAGGGUGUGAUUAGCGAUUGGGGUGAAGUCGUAACAAGGUAUCCGUACGGGAACGUGCGGAUGGAUCACCUCCUUUCUAAGGAGAAGAAGUCUUUCUCUAUUCUAUUGGUAAUGUUCUUUACAUUACUUCUGAACAUUGGAAACUAUAUAGUAGAACAAACAAGAAAAAAAUUAACUCUAACAAUUUCUUAGAGUUAGCUGUCAAAAAAUAGAUUAAAAUAAUUAAGGGCACACAAAGGAUGCCUAGGUAGUAAGAGCCGAUGAAGGACGUGGUAAGCUGCGAUAAGCCUAG
RNAcentral lists this small RNA (557 nucleotides) under uncultured Fusobacterium sp. RNAcentral describes it as "bacterial SSU rRNA". The stretch from base 1 to 341 matches the Rfam family "Bacterial small subunit ribosomal RNA", at positions 1194 to 1533 of the family's 1533-position model. The record is from RNAcentral. Lineage: Bacteria; Fusobacteriati; Fusobacteriota; Fusobacteriia; Fusobacteriales; Fusobacteriaceae.